UAAGACAGAGGCCUCGAGCGUUAGACGGAAUCACUGGGCUUAAAGCGUGUGUAGGCGGAAGGGUAAGUACCUUGUGAAAUCCCACGGCUCAACCGUGGAACUGCUGGGUAUACUGCUUUUCUUGAGCAAUCUAGGGGCGAGUGGAACAGAUGGUGGAGCGGUGAAAUGCGUAGAUAUCAUCUGGAACGCCAAUGGUGAAGACAACUCGCUGGGGAUUUGCUGACGCUGAGACACGAAAGCCAGGGGAGCGAACGGGAUUAGAUACCCCGGUAGUCCUGGCCCUAAACGAUGUCCACUAGAUUGUGGCGGCUCUGACGCCGUCACGGUCGAAGCAAAAGUGUUAAGUGGACCGCCUGGGAAGUACGGUCGCAAGGCUA
RNAcentral lists this ribosomal RNA (377 nucleotides) under uncultured bacterium. RNAcentral's name for it is "bacterial SSU rRNA". It matches the Rfam family "Bacterial small subunit ribosomal RNA", at positions 521 to 896 of the family's 1533-position model. The record is from RNAcentral.